Molecule: ribosomal RNA, 1436 nt
Filed under: bacterium
Lineage: Bacteria
Description: bacterial SSU rRNA
Rfam family: Bacterial small subunit ribosomal RNA
Source: RNAcentral
UGCCUAAUACAUGCAAGUCGAGCGAACAGAUGAGAAGCUUGCUUCUCUGAUGUUAGCGGCGGACGGGUGAGUAACACGUGGGUAACCUACCUAUAAGACUGGGAUAACUCCGGGAAACCGGGGCUAAUACCGGAUAAUAUUUUGAACCGCAUGGUUCAAUAGUGAAAGACGGUUUCGGCUGUCACUUAUAGAUGGACCCGCGCCGUAUUAGCUAGUUGGUAAGGUAACGGCUUACCAAGGCGACGAUACGUAGCCGACCUGAGAGGGUGAUCGGCCACACUGGAACUGAGACACGGUCCAGACUCCUACGGGAGGCAGCAGUAGGGAAUCUUCCGCAAUGGGCGAAAGCCUGACGGAGCAACGCCGCGUGAGUGAUGAAGGUCUUCGGAUCGUAAAACUCUGUUGUUAGGGAAGAACAAAUUUGUUAGUAACUGAACAAGUCUUGACGGUACCUAACCAGAAAGCCACGGCUAACUACGUGCCAGCAGCCGCGGUAAUACGUAGGUGGCAAGCGUUAUCCGGAAUUAUUGGGCGUAAAGCGCGCGUAGGCGGUUUCUUAAGUCUGAUGUGAAAGCCCACGGCUCAACCGUGGAGGGUCAUUGGAAACUGGGAAACUUGAGUGCAGAAGAGGAGAGUGGAAUUCCAUGUGUAGCGGUGAAAUGCGCAGAGAUAUGGAGGAACACCAGUGGCGAAGGCGGCUCUCUGGUCUGUAACUGACGCUGAUGUGCGAAAGCGUGGGGAUCAAACAGGAUUAGAUACCCUGGUAGUCCACGCCGUAAACGAUGAGUGCUAAGUGUUAGGGGGUUUCCGCCCCUUAGUGCUGCAGCUAACGCAUUAAGCACUCCGCCUGGGGAGUACGACCGCAAGGUUGAAACUCAAAGGAAUUGACGGGGACCCGCACAAGCGGUGGAGCAUGUGGUUUAAUUCGAAGCAACGCGAAGAACCUUACCAAAUCUUGACAUCCUUUGACCGCUCUAGAGAUAGAGUCUUCCCCUUCGGGGGACAAAGUGACAGGUGGUGCAUGGUUGUCGUCAGCUCGUGUCGUGAGAUGUUGGGUUAAGUCCCGCAACGAGCGCAACCCUUAAGCUUAGUUGCCAUCAUUAAGUUGGGCACUCUAGGUUGACUGCCGGUGACAAACCGGAGGAAGGUGGGGAUGACGUCAAAUCAUCAUGCCCCUUAUGAUUUGGGCUACACACGUGCUACAAUGGAUAAUACAAAGGGCAGCGAAUCCGCGAGGCCAAGCAAAUCCCAUAAAAUUAUUCUCAGUUCGGAUUGUAGUCUGCAACUCGACUACAUGAAGCUGGAAUCGCUAGUAAUCGUAGAUCAGCAUGCUACGGUGAAUACGUUCCCGGGUCUUGUACACACCGCCCGUCACACCACGAGAGUUUGUAACACCCGAAGCCGGUGGAGUAACCUUUUAGGAGCUAGCCGUCGAA